This 447-nucleotide ribosomal RNA is filed under the name uncultured bacterium. Its description in RNAcentral is "bacterial SSU rRNA". It matches the Rfam family "Bacterial small subunit ribosomal RNA", at positions 343 to 787 of the family's 1533-position model. The record is from RNAcentral.
GGGAGGCAGCAGUGAGGAAUAUUGCGCAAUGGAGGCAACUCUGACGCAGCCAUGCCGCGUGCAGGAAGAAGGCGCUACGCGUUGUAAACUGCUUUUAUCCGGGAAGAAACCCCAGGACGUGUCCUGGGUUGACGGUACCGGAGGAAUAAGCACCGGCUAACUUCGUGCCAGCAGCCGCGGUAAUACGAAGGGUGCAAGCGUUAUCCGGAUUCAUUGGGUUUAAAGGGUGCGUAGGUGGGGCGAUAAGUCAGCGGUGAAAUCCUGCAGCUCAACUGCAGAAUUGCCGUUGAUACUGUCGCUCUUGAGUACGCUUGACGUGGGCGGAAUGUGCCGUGUAGCGGUGAAAUGCUUAGAUAUGGCACAGAACACCGAUAGUGAAGACAGCUCACGAAGGCGAAACUGACACUGAGGCACGAAAGCGUGGGGAUCGAACAGGAUUAGAUACCC